GUCUAUGUAGUUUAAUGGGUCAAAACAAUAUGCUGUUAACAUAUGAAAAAAGGUUCAAAUCCUUUCGUGGACU
Molecule: transfer RNA, 73 nt
Filed under: Starmerella bacillaris
Lineage: Eukaryota; Fungi; Ascomycota; Dipodascomycetes; Dipodascales; Trichomonascaceae
Description: tRNA-Asn
Rfam family: tRNA
About the family: Transfer RNA (tRNA) molecules are approximately 80 nucleotides in length.
Source: RNAcentral